AACUUUCAACAACGGAUCUCUUGGCUCUCGCAUCGAUGAAGAACGCAGCGAAAUGCGAUAAGUAAUGUGAAUUGCAGAAUUCAGUGAAUCAUCGAAUCUUU
RNAcentral lists this ribosomal RNA (101 nucleotides) under Tricholoma focale. Its description in RNAcentral is "5.8S ribosomal RNA". It matches the Rfam family "5.8S ribosomal RNA", at positions 1 to 101 of the family's 154-position model. Rfam says of the family: 5.8S ribosomal RNA (5.8S rRNA) is a component of the large subunit of the eukaryotic ribosome. It is transcribed by RNA polymerase I as part of the 45S precursor that also contains 18S and 28S rRNA. Functionally, it is thought that 5.8S rRNA may be involved in ribosome translocation. RNAcentral also lists the same sequence under 11 other names. The record is from RNAcentral. Lineage: Eukaryota; Fungi; Basidiomycota; Agaricomycetes; Agaricales; Tricholomataceae.